Non-coding RNA from Pelobates cultripes (western spadefoot toad), 603 nucleotides. The record is from the annotation of a GenBank genome assembly. NCBI's taxonomy places the organism in Eukaryota, Metazoa, Chordata, Amphibia, Anura, Pelobatidae.
UCUAUAUACAUCUAUAUAUUUAAAUCACUCAAGGUGUUGAUUUUGAAUUAAAAUUCGACACAGGAAUGUGUUUUUUCAAAUGAAAUACAUUUUAAAUGUAUUUGUGUGAAUACAAUUUUUGUUGCCCAAACCUGAAGUGAUAUGAAUGUUUAAUUUAAAAAAUUGAGAGGAGGAGUGGACAGUUUCAUAUUUUGCAAAUACAGUUUCUAUCCUAAUUAUUUUUCUACUUCUUUUCUUUUAAUUUUCAGUUGAUUUUGUUAUCAUGUGGACUAAGAGACACAGGAAAACAAAAUCCUCUGACAAAUUAAAUAAAAUAAUGUAUAUAGUUAGAGGACAUUAAGCCGGUAACAUUAAUUUAUUUUUUCUAUGUUUGUUCAUAAAAUUAUUUGCAAACCAUGUACCUACCGACUCUGUUCUUGAAAGAAAAAAUCCAUGAACCUCAACUCAACUUUUUAUCAUUUGACUUCAUAGAGUGAUCAAAUAAAAUGCUUAAAAUUAUAUUUUUGUAUGUCUGUAGUAUUCUUUCUUUAAUCAUAUAUGUCUAUGCAUAGUGAAUAUUAGGACAAAUCUGAUGCAUAUGAUAUUUGGUGUAUUAAAGUGAGG